AUUGAACGCUGGCGGCAGGCCUAACACAUGCAAGUCGAGCGGAUGAAGGGAGCUUGCUCCUGGAUUCAGCGGCGGACGGGUGAGUAAUGCCUAGGAAUCUGCCUGGUAGUGGGGGAUAACGUCCGGAAACGGGCGCUAAUACCGCAUACGUCCUGAGGGAGAAAGUGGGGGAGCUUCGGACCUCACGCUAUCAGAUGAGCCUAGGUCGGAUUAGCUAGUUGGUGGGGUAAAUGCCUACCAAGGCGACGAUCCGUAACUGGUCUGAGAGGAUGAUCAGUCACACUAGAACUGAGACACGGUCCAGACUCCUACGAGAGGGAGCAGUGGGGUAUAUUGGACAAUGGGCGGAAGCCUUAUCCAGUCAUGCCGAGUGUGUUAAGAAGGUCUUCGGAUUGUAAAGAACUUUAAGUUGGGAGGAAGGGCAGUAAGUUAAUACCUUGCUGGUUUGACGUUACCAACAGAAUAAGCACCGGCUAACUUCGUG
RNAcentral lists this ribosomal RNA (484 nucleotides) under uncultured bacterium. RNAcentral's name for it is "partial 16S ribosomal RNA". It matches the Rfam family "Bacterial small subunit ribosomal RNA", at positions 30 to 507 of the family's 1533-position model. The record is from RNAcentral.